Molecule: ribosomal RNA, 233 nt
Filed under: uncultured bacterium
Lineage: Bacteria
Description: partial 16S ribosomal RNA
Rfam family: Bacterial small subunit ribosomal RNA
Source: RNAcentral
ACGGGUGAGUAACACGUAAGUAAUCUACCCUCGAGUGGGGAAUAACGUCCGGAAACGGACGCUAAUACCGCAUAAUGCAGCGGCACCGCAAGGUGACAGUUGUUAAAGAUUUAUCGCUUGAGGAGGAGCUUGCGGCAGAUUAGCUAGUUGGUAAGGUAAUGGCUUACCAAGGCUACGAUCUGUAACCGGUCUAAGAGGACGGUCGGUCACACUGACACUGAAUAACGGGUCAG